Beta vulgaris subsp. vulgaris (sugar beet) is the source of this 827-nucleotide long non-coding RNA. RefSeq lists it as uncharacterized. The record is from RefSeq and is a predicted model, not a curated record. The transcript is spliced from 2 exons. NCBI's taxonomy places the organism in Eukaryota, Viridiplantae, Streptophyta, Magnoliopsida, Caryophyllales, Amaranthaceae.
AUUUUUUUUUCAGUUAGUCUUAAUUAUUUUUCAGGUAGUCUUAAUUUUUUUUCAGGUAGUCUUCAUUUUUUUUCAGGUAGUCUUCAUUUUGUUUUCAGUUAGUCUUCUUUUUUUUUCAGUUGGUUUUUGUACUUCAGUUAGACUUACUUUGGGUUUCAGUUGGUCUUUAUUCUUUUUCAGGUAGUCUUCAUUUUUUUUCAGGUAGUCUUUAUUCUUUUUCAGGUAGUCUUCAUUUUUUUUCAGUUAGUCCAACUGAAAAAAAACAAAGUUCAACUGAAACAAAACAAAGUCCAACUGAAAGAAACACAAAGUCCAACUGAAAGAAAACAAAGUCCAACUGAAAGAAAACAAAGUCCAACUGAAAGAAAACAAAGUCCAACUGAAAGAAAACAAAGUCCAACUGAAACAAAACAAAGUCCAACUGAAAAACAAAACACUAACCUCUGCUUUCUCUCACUUUCUCCUUUUCUUCAUUCCUCUUAGCUGAUUUUUUUCUUCUUUGUUAGAUCAAUAAAGAAUGGAGACUGAGAUUAAGAAUUUCAUGAAAAAUAGGAUUUAUGAAAGAACUUAAGAAUUUCAUGAAAAUCUUCCAAGUCUUAUCUUCAUUAAGAAUUUCAUGAAGAAUUUCAUGAAGAUGAUGAGUCGAAUAUACUCAUCACAGGGAAGAACAAGUUUCUGAAGUAAGUAGUACUAUUUGAAGUUUCUAAAAAGGGUAAUAAAUAGCUAUUAUGAUUUCUGCCAUUGAAGGAUGGUUGUACUAUUUGAAGAAAUGAAACAAAAUAAAUUCCACAAAUACAGAGAAAAAAAAGGUUGUAGAAGUUGAAGAA